UGGGGAUCGGAUGAACUAGCAUGCGAGUCAUUGUAGCAAUACAAGGCAGACGGCUCAGUAACGCGUAGUCAACCUAACCUAUGGACGGGAAUAAUCUCGGGAAACUGAGAAUAAUGCCCGAUAGAACACUAUAUCUGGAAUGGUUUGUGUUCCAAAUGAUUUAUCGCCAUAGGAUGGGACUGCGGCCUAUCAGUUUGUUGGUGAGGUAAUGGCCCACCAAGACUAUUACAGGUACGGGCUCUGAGAGGAGUAGCCCGGAGAUGGGUACUGAGACACGGACCCAGGCCCUAUGGGGCGCAGCAGGCGAGAAAACUUUGCAAUGUGCGAAAGCACGACAAGGUUAAUCCGAGUGGUUUCUGCUAAAGGAACCUUUUGUCGGUCCUAGAAACACCGAUGAAUAAGGGGUGGGCAAGUUCUGGUGUCAGCCGCCGCGGUAAAACCAGCACCUCAAGUGGUCAGGAUGAUUAUUGGGCCUAAAGCAUCCGUAGCCGGCUCUGUAAGUUUUCGGUUAAAUCUGUACGCUUAACGUACAGGCUGCCGGGAAUACUGCAUAGCUAGGAAGUGGGAGAGGUAGACGGUACUCGGUAGGAAGGGGUAAAAUCCUUUGAUCUAUUGAUGACCACCUGUGGCGAAGGCGGUCUACCAGAACACGUUCGACGGUGAGGGAUGAAAGCUGGGGGAGCAAACCGGAUUAGAUACCCGGGUAGUCCCAGCUGUAAACUAUGCAAACUCAGUGAUGCAUUGGCUUGUGGCCAAUGCAGUGCUGCAGGGAAGCCGUUAAGUUUGCCGCCUGGGGAAGUACGUACGCAAGUAUGAAACUUAAAGGAAUUGGCGGGGGAGCACCACAAGGGGUGAAGCCUGCGGUUCAAUUGGAGUCAACGCCGGG
Molecule: ribosomal RNA, 886 nt
Filed under: uncultured archaeon
Lineage: Archaea
Description: bacterial SSU rRNA
Rfam family: Archaeal small subunit ribosomal RNA
Source: RNAcentral